GGGGCUACGGAGUAACACUCAUCACCCUGUGACAUACCUAAACGUUGCUUCGGCGGGAACAGACGGCCUGAGAACCGGGCCGCCCCCGCCAGAGGACCCCUAACUCUGUUUUUAAAAUGUUUUUCUGAGUAAACAAGCAAAUAAAUUAAAACUUUCAACAACGGAUCUCUUGGCUCUGGCAUCGAUGACGAACGCAGCGAAAUGCGAUAAGUAAUGUGAAUUGCAGAAUUCAGUGAAUCAUCGAAUCUUUGAACGCACAUUGCGCCCGCCAGUAUUCUGGCGGGCAUGCCUGUUCGAGCGUCAUUACAACCCUCAGGCCCCCGGGCCUGGCGUUGGGGAUCGGCGGAAGCCCCCUGUGGGCACACGCCGUCCCUCAAAUACAGUGGCGGUCCCGCCGCAGCUUCCAUUGCGUUUUUAACACCUCGCAACUGGAGAGCGGCGCGGCCAUGCCGUAAAACACCCAACUUCUGAAUGUUGACCUCGAAUCAGGUAGGAAUACCCGCUGAACUUAAUA
This 514-nucleotide ribosomal RNA is filed under the name uncultured Fusarium. RNAcentral's name for it is "eukaryotic LSU rRNA". The stretch from base 150 to 303 matches the Rfam family "5.8S ribosomal RNA". The record is from RNAcentral. Lineage: Eukaryota; Fungi; Ascomycota; Sordariomycetes; Hypocreales; Nectriaceae.